GGGUUGUGAGGUUAAGCGACUAAGCGUACACGGUGGAUGCCCUGGCAGUCAGAGGCGAUGAAGGACGUGCUAAUCUGCGAUAAGCGCCGGUAAGGUGAUAUGAACCGUUAUAACCGGCGAUUUCCGAAUGGGGAAACCCAGUGUGACUCGUCACACUAUCAUUAACUGAAUCCAUAGGUUAAUGAGGCGAACCGGGGGAACUGAAACAUCUAAGUACCCCGAGGAAAAGAAAUCAACCGAGAUUCCCCCAGUAGCGGCGAGCGAACGGGGAGGAGCCCAGAGCCUGAAUCAGCAUGUGUGUUAGUGGAAGCGUCUGGAAAGGCGCGCGAUACAGGGUGACAGCC
RNAcentral lists this ribosomal RNA (344 nucleotides) under Salmonella enterica subsp. enterica serovar Newport. Its description in RNAcentral is "partial 23S ribosomal RNA". It matches the Rfam family "Bacterial large subunit ribosomal RNA", at positions 1 to 372 of the family's 2925-position model. Lineage: Bacteria; Pseudomonadati; Pseudomonadota; Gammaproteobacteria; Enterobacterales; Enterobacteriaceae. The record is from RNAcentral.